GUUGGCACACUAAUCUCUGGGAUGCAGAC
RNAcentral lists this non-coding RNA (29 nucleotides) under Cricetulus griseus (Chinese hamster). The record is from RNAcentral. Lineage: Eukaryota; Metazoa; Chordata; Mammalia; Rodentia; Cricetidae.